This 22-nucleotide microRNA is filed under the name Picea abies (Norway spruce). RNAcentral's name for it is "pab-miR950e". Its record names the gene pab-miR950e. Lineage: Eukaryota; Viridiplantae; Streptophyta; Pinopsida; Pinales; Pinaceae. The record is from miRBase by way of RNAcentral.
UCACGUCUGGGCCGCGAUGGUU